This 253-nucleotide ribosomal RNA is filed under the name uncultured bacterium. Its description in RNAcentral is "partial 16S ribosomal RNA". It matches the Rfam family "Bacterial small subunit ribosomal RNA", at positions 524 to 776 of the family's 1533-position model. The record is from RNAcentral.
UACGGAGGGAGCUAGCGUUGUUCGGAAUUACUGGGCGUAAAGCGCGCGUAGGCGGCUUUGUAAGUUAGAGGUGAAAGCCUGGAGCUCAACUUCAGAAUUGCCUUUAAGACUGCAUCGCUUGAAUCCGGGAGAGGUGAGUGGAAUUCCGAGUGUAGAGGUGAAAUUCGUAGAUAUUCGGAAGAACACCAGUGGCGAAGGCGGCUCACUGGCCCGGUACUGACGCUCAGGUGCGAAAGCGUGGGGAGCAAACAGG